AUUGAACGCUGGCGGCGUAGCUUAACACAUGCAAGUCGAACGCGAAAGGGACUUCGGUCCUGAGUAAAGUGGCGCACGGGUGAGUAACGCGUGGAUAAUCUGCCCUUAUGAUCGGGAUAACAGUUGGAAACGGCUGCUAAUACCGGAUACGCUCAAAAUGAACUUUUUGAGGAAAGAUGGCCUCUGCUUGCAUGCUAUCGCGUAAGGAUGAGUCCGCGUCCCAUUAGCUUGUUGGCGGGGUAACGGCCCACCAAGGCAACGAUGGGUAGCCGAUUUGAGAGGAUGAUCGGCCACACUGGAACUGAAACACGGUCCAGACUCCUACGGGAGGCAGCAGUGGGGAAUAUUGCGCAAUGGGCGAAAGCCUGACGCAGCGACGCCGCGUGAGGGAUGAAAGGUUUUCGGAUCGUAAACCUCUGUCAGAAGGGAAGAAACUACAUUGUGCUAAUCAGCAGUGUACUGACGGUACCUUCAAAGGAAGCACCGGCUAACUCCGUGCCAGCAGCCGC
This 509-nucleotide ribosomal RNA is filed under the name uncultured bacterium. Its description in RNAcentral is "bacterial SSU rRNA". It matches the Rfam family "Bacterial small subunit ribosomal RNA", at positions 30 to 518 of the family's 1533-position model. The record is from RNAcentral.